CCCCAAGUCAAGCAAGGUGGAGAAAUAGAUGGUGGUGCGAGGGUCUGACCAACAGUGUCUCGACGGUGGCGCACGGCGUGGUUCUGAUUCUGGAGCAAGGUAAUGCACUAUCCGUUCAAAAUUGCUUUAUAUACUGAAUAAUAUUUAUCAAUAUCAUCGGCCAUUUAGCGAUGUAAUGGUUAAUUCUUCAUUUGAACUGAUUUCAUUUUGAUUUGACGAACAUAGAUUUCCUUCAUCAGAAACUUCCCUUCGAAAGAAACCUGGCUUUUUAGCCUCAACCAAUUCCAUCUCACUACCUAACAUUUGAACUACAGAUGUCAUUGUAGGUCUAUCCUCCGGGUACUGUUGCACACACAAUAGACUCACAUGGAUGCAUCGCAAUACCUCUGAAACAACACAUGAUUCUUUUAUUUUUAUUUCAAUCAACUCUAAUGCCUUUCCCUCUUUCCAAAGUGUCCAUGCCUGAAAUAAUAAAAUACUUUAUCACAUUUCAAUUUCAACAUUCAUAAACAGAAAAUUAAAUAUAAGUGCUUACAUAUCCAACAAGGUUAAGUGUCUCGUUUUCAUGACAAAGCGAUCUAUUUUUGUUCCCACAUAUAAUUUCUAAUAGUAAAACUCCAAAGCUGAAAACGUCUGAUUUGAUUGAAAAUAGUCCAUCAACGGCAUACUCUGGUGCCAUGUAUCCACUGUCGUAAACAGUUAGAUCAAAAUAUUUAUAUAUAAGAUAAAAAUAAUUAGAGAAUUGAUAUAUAGACACACUUUUUCACAAUCAGCAUCAUAUAUGUAUAAAAAUACAUGUUUUCUCUUUUACCUCGGUCCCCUUGCACACACCAUUGAGUUGUAUUUUGUAAUGUGGUGCAUAAUUGAUAUCAAAAAACUUUAAAAAGUGUCUAUAUAUCAUUUCUCAAAUAAGUAAGCUUGAGAAACUUGCAUUUGUCACGGUCAAUCAAUCUAGAUCCAAUAGUCAAGAUUGUUUGACUUUGGCAAAUGUGGAAUUCUCCCACCGUAAAAAAUGAUAAUCGAAAUCCAAACUAACACGCACUAAGUUCCAACUACUCUGUUAGUAUUUCCUUCAAUCUGAUCUCCUCCAAAAGAUCUAGCCAUUCCAAAAUCUGAUAUUUUUGGAUUUAACUUGUCAUCCAACAAUACAUUACUUGCUUUCAGGUCUCUAUGAAUAAUCCUUAAUCGAGAGUCUUGAUGAAGAUACACAAGUCCCCUCGCAACUCCAAAUAUUAUUUGAAAGCGUAGGGGCCAUUCUAGUAAUUUACCUUUUAUUUGAUCUGAUUUUUACAAAGGAAACGUGUAAUUGUCAAUUAAAUAAAUAAAUAUGAUUGAUGUAUGCAGAUAAAUAAAUAUGCUGCACCUAAUCUAAGCAUUCGUCAUAUUCCAUACCAAAAAUAAAUGAGUCAAGGCUACCAUUAGCCAUGUAUUCGUAUACUAGCAAUUUUUCUUGUCCUCCAACACAACAACCGAGAAGCUUAACCAGAUUUCUGUGUUGAAGUUUUGCAAUCAGUUUUACUUCUGUCAAGAACUCGGUGAUUCCUUGUCCAGAGUUGCGUGAAAGUCUCUUAACAGCAAUUUCUUGCCCAUCCGCUAAUUUUCCCUGCAUAAUUGCUUUUAUUUUAUAAUAUUAAAACUUCUCUAGUUGUUCACGUCUCUGGUAAAUACUCAACACUUGAAUCAAUAUUCAGUUACCUUAUAUACAGAUCCAAAACCACCUUGUCCAAUCUUAUUAUUUAAUGAGAAAUUGUUAGUAGCACUAGCAAUUGUUUGCAGAUCGAAUAAUGGUAAUUCCAGAUCCUCUAGAUGCCUUUCAAUGUUAUCUUCUGUCUUUGACUUAUCUGAGAAACGGAACAGAGGAAAUGACAUAUUCAGUAAUAUUAUGAAACCUGCGGAGGGGAUCAUUUGAGCUGAUUAAGUUAUAUAAACAUGGAAUAUUAAAUAUAGAGAUGGAAAUAGAAAAUAUAUAAGGUUCUUUCAAUUUCUUACAUGUGUAGCUUGAAACUCUAGGCCAUUAAACCAUCCAGAUUCAAUGACAUCUUUAUAUACCUUUUAAAAUUCAACAGGAACAUUCUAUGAAUGAUAAGAGAGUCGUUGCAACUUGCAAAAUUGGUUGCAUCAAAAGGGUGGGGAAUUCCCCAGCCAAGUCCUUGAACCAACAAGUUUUGUUACACUUACUAGAUAUACGAACUCAAUGUUCAGAUUCCUACCAAUAUAUGAGACAGUUGCAUCUUCCAAUCUAAUAAAAAGUUUACAAUCCUGAACUAUAUAAUCAAUGGCAGCAAUACAAUUUACAAUUUCCCAAGUUCAAGGCCAUGUUAAAAAACCACUUGGCCUCAAAUUUACCAAUAUAAGGCAAUAACAUAAGGGAUGAUUACCCCCAAAGAGUGUCUCUUGAGAGUUAGAAGUAUUUCUAUUUUCUGAUUUGUCAAUUAAAAAGUUAUGAAGAGAAAAGAGCUCCCAUUCCAUGAAUUUAAUGACAAUAAUAAAAUGAAUGAAAAAUUAAGUUACCUGCAAUUCUCCUUCGAACUCUAUAAAUGACAUAAAUGCAAAGUAAAAGCACCCCAGAAAUUGCAGCAGCAGUGGUAGCAGCUAUGAUUAUCACGCUUUUGUUGCGCCCAUGUGAAGCCUCUUCAUCUAUGAAACAGAUAAACUUAUAAGUUACGACAUCCUCCUUGGAUUUAAAAGUAAUCAUAUAUUCAUUCGACAUGACACAAGUACAACAUGAAUUAUGCAAUAAUAUUAGGAGAUAAAAAGUUGUUUCUUACCUAUUACCCGAGCUAUACGGAUAUAGAGAUCUUGGCCGCCAGUGGGAAACUGUCUUAUGUCGAUUAGAUUGCCGAACCACAUGACACAGCCACUUCCCUUUCCACUUAUGUCUGAAUUAGUAUAAGCUGUACAAGAGCAAUUAUUCAAGCACAUGGUUCUGCAUAACCCUAAAUCAACAUUCUCGUACAACAAAGUAUGUGUAGUAUCUGGUACUUUGAGACCUAUAUAUCUGAUCAACUCAUCAUCCACAUCCUUAUUCACUUGAGGGCUGUUGCAACUUAAUGUUAUACUACGGACACACCCAUCACUCCAGUCAGAUGAGUCCCAUUGUUGCGUUGACUUUGGAACGAACCCAUGUAAACAUUCGCAAGCUGGUGAAUUUGUGGUUGAGCAACUUGCAUAGGGUCCACAAGCCCCAUACAAUUCACAGAAGUUAUUUGGGGUACUUUCAGUAAGCACCCAAUUUGAAUCAUCUUCUUCCCACACAGAGAUAGAAAAAUUGGUUUGGUAUAUAAUAGCACUAACAAAGGCAGAAGGAUUCUUGAGGGUAAAGGAGUAAAACAUCUCAUCCUUAUUAGACACAUAAUUGAAAUCAUUAUUAGCAACAUACUUGAAAUCAUAUAUAGAAUUUUGUUUUCGAUCCGACAAACCACUAAAUUGAAGUCCAUUCCAUGGUCCGAUCCGACAGUAUUUCUCUGUUCCAUUCAUCAAAUAAAACUCUGGAUAAUUAUGAAGAACCAGACCCCAUGAAAGAUCUCCAGGAGAUGGAUCAUCAACACUCUUCCAAGAAGUUAUUCUCCUUUCAAAAUCAUUUCUGAGGUCCCAUCCCAAUUUCAUUCCAGGCAAAAUUGUAUCACAGGGAUAGUCAAAGCUUUGCCACAAGUAGGUUCCUGCUGUUUCUCCUUCGUUCCUUAUAACAAGAUUGCCACUGUCCAAGAGCUCUGCAAUUGGUUUCUGUGCUUGUUUAUCUGAUGUUGUGUUCCAAAUAACAGUUUCAUUUUGGUGGAGCAUGAGAUUACCUGAGGUUCUCAGUGUUAAGAUUCCUAAAGUAUUGUUGAUGGGGUUGACCCUAUUUGCAACCCAAACAACCUUUUGUAUUGGCAUCUGCUUGUACCAAAUCCCAAGGUAACGUUUUUCAGAAGUGCCUGGACUGAAGAAACCCAGUUCAAAUUGUCCACCUUUUGAAACUAAGGUUUCACCAUCACUUAUAGACUGAGAAACACUUAUGGAACUAGUUGCUAUAAUGGGGACAAUUGUGUAAGCAAUUAUAAUAAAAAAAGAAAGAAUGUCCAUCGCAUGAUACUUGUAUAUAUUUGGAUAUUGAAGAUUGGAUUUAGCUAAGUGUAAGAUAAUUUAUAAACAUACCAAAUAGCAUGAUGAGCUGAGAUUGGUUUUGUGCUAAUUUCCUUGUUUCAUAUCAAGGCAUAUUAUUGUUGCUGUGAGGAGUCUUCACUCUUCACAAAUAAUGGUUGCUCAGUAGUAGCAAUUGUUUCUACUUGGACUCGUUCGUUUUCCUUUCUGCUAAUGCCUAGUAGUAUAUAUUAUAUAUUUUGUUUGGUCUGCGCAGUUUUAUUUUGACUUAAAUACUUAUAUCUUUCUAUCUUGGUAUUUAUUAAUAAUCAACUGUCAACUAAUCUAUUAGCUUAAAGUUUUAAAUUACAGGUUUGAUUGAGAGAGAAUUGGGCGACACUGGGUAUAUAGGAGAAUAUAAGAUGCCAAGUUCAAGUAUCCAAAUGGUAGGACAUGAACAUUUUGCAGAACAAGAUGGUCGUUUCCAUAUCUAUUUAGGCUAAAAUAUACUUUUUCUCACGGUACAUUGAAUAUGAAAUAGAAAAAAUGUUGAUUUAACGAUGUUGUUCGAGGUGGCAUAAUUAAUGUAUCAAUUGACAUUUAAAAUUCUUAAAUCAUUUACAUUUUUCUUUAAAUUGUUGUUUUUACUAUAAGAUUUAGUUGAAGGAAAUAGCGAUUUCAAGACUAUUUUUGAGAUUUUGGAUGUAAAUUGAGACACUAAAUAUACAAUCUCAAACAAUUAUUGUUAAGUCAUCAUUUGUUACAUUUUAUAUUCAAAUGUACAGGAAAAAAGGACUAACAUUUACACGACUGAAAAAGAUAAAUUACUAAAUAAAAAAAUAAAGCACCAUAACAAAUGUUAGGUAAAAUAUAAAGGCU
This 4938-nucleotide long non-coding RNA is filed under the name Cicer arietinum (chickpea). RNAcentral describes it as "long non-coding RNA (CARI_LNC001875)". Lineage: Eukaryota; Viridiplantae; Streptophyta; Magnoliopsida; Fabales; Fabaceae. The record is from RNAcentral.